AAAAUAAAAAGUUUAAAAAGCAAACAAAAAACCCCAAAUAGAGUUGUAUCAACGAGGUUUUGCUUGUGAUUUGAUUUUGUGGCCGUAAUUGUCCUGUUCUCUUUCAACACAAUAACCCUAACCCUCUCCCUGUUUCUUUCAGAAAGAGCGAGGGAGUAAUUCUAGCCUGUUUUUACAAGAACACAGUGGCUAUAGACAGUGCCAGUGUGAAGAUGACUCAGCAAACGUGGAGAACCAAAGAUUCUAGGGCAGCACCAAAACUGGGAAAGCAAUUACAGCAGAAGUUGCCUUCCCCAUGGUAGCUUAGCAACUUCGUGUCUCUCCAAGGCAGAGAGGAAAAUCAAGUCUAACAGGCCUUCCCGAAGGCUAGGUGUGAAAUACCAGAAGCCAUCUUUGUUUCUGGCGAUGUCACUAAAUAAGUAUUUGUUGAUAUAAAGUA
Molecule: long non-coding RNA, 439 nt
Filed under: Homo sapiens (human)
Lineage: Eukaryota; Metazoa; Chordata; Mammalia; Primates; Hominidae
Description: HSALNT0305261
Source: RNAcentral